UGCCUUUGUAGAGCAGGUAUAGGAUUCAGUUUUUUUUAUGAACCAAAUGAACCUAGUAUACUGAUUGUUUUGUGCAUGUCUCUUUCAGUUGUGGCCAUGCUGUUAUGUAUCGUAUUGUCAUCAGAAGAAUCUGAUGUGCUGCAAUGCACAGGGGAGAAACUGAGUGAUGGACAGUUCUACUUUAAUAUGCCGUAUGAAGUUAAGGAGGACAUCUAUGACUGCGAGACCCAAUGGCUUGUUGAUGAGAAAGUGGCAGGGAUUUCUGAUACUGAAGGGAAAAUUACGUUCAUAUUCCCAAUUGAAAAUUUGACAGUGAAUGCAGCCAUCUUACAGACGUGCCCUGAAAGACUUGAAUGCCUGCUCAUCUGCCCCAGCGCCAAUAUCAAUGAAAAGCAGCAGUGCUCUUGUAAGUAA
This 414-nucleotide long non-coding RNA is filed under the name Sinocyclocheilus grahami. RNAcentral's name for it is "lncRNA (ENSSGRG00000039795.1)". Lineage: Eukaryota; Metazoa; Chordata; Actinopteri; Cypriniformes; Cyprinidae. The record is from RNAcentral.